This is a long non-coding RNA of Magallana angulata, 490 nucleotides long. RefSeq lists it as uncharacterized. Lineage: Eukaryota; Metazoa; Mollusca; Bivalvia; Ostreida; Ostreidae. The transcript has 4 exons. The record is from RefSeq and is a predicted model, not a curated record.
ACUAGAAUAUGACAUCCACGGGACUCUCACAACGAACUUGAUCGCGCGUGACCGGAAUCAGAAGCGUGACGCAUCGAUUCUGUCAAUAUAUAAACAGUGGUACAGGUCAUCGAUUUGUACAGACUUUUGGAGUACGCAAAGGACUUGUACUUAUCCCCGAAGUGUUAUCGCAUUAUGAUGAAGGGGUUACUAUUGUGCUUGCUAGUUUUCAUCAUCGUUGAGAUGGUAUCUGCCUAUCCUUGGCCGUCUUGGGGGCCUAACCCGUGGGCACGGUCUCAAUACCCUUCUCCGUGGAACCCUUGGAGUCCACAGGCGUACUUUGCUAGGGAAUUCUACGAUGAAAUUUUUGAUUAAGAGAAACAUUUGAUUCCCAUAAGCUACUUCCAGCGUGACGUCAUUCUUAACUGAAUGGAAAUUUCGUAUAACCUUGUUUCUAUUAUUUGUAAAAUAGACAGCAGUCAUAAAUAAAUUGCCAUUAAAACAGUGUUUU